Solanum stenotomum is the source of this 206-nucleotide long non-coding RNA. RefSeq lists it as uncharacterized. The transcript has 2 exons. The record is from RefSeq and is a predicted model, not a curated record. Lineage: Eukaryota; Viridiplantae; Streptophyta; Magnoliopsida; Solanales; Solanaceae.
GCUUUUACAUUUUUAACUGAAAUUUUAUUUGUUUAGGUGUUUGAUUCUUUUUAAAUUCUUAAACCAGGGGGGAUAGUUCCCAACACAUGAAUUGUGUGUCUGCUUUAUCUUCUUUGUGAGCGUUAUCGUCUCUUAAAGUUGUUUCCCUGCUACAGUUCAAGCUUCCCAAGUUUCAUUUGCUUCAUUUCCUGACAGCUAUGCCUGAG